GGGAUCCUGCGGCCUCCUCCAGGUCUGGACGCAGGGAGGGGUGAGACUGUUCUGGCCAAAGAGACUGGAGAUCCAGUAUCAGCAAGCUACCUUCUUGGUAAACCUCCAUUUCCCAAUGCUCAUCUUUGUCCUCUACCCCCACCCAUCCCAAGGCAAAUGAUGAAAACAUCUAUUGGAUCCAGCCUUUGCUAUCUUCUCCAUGCUGCUCAUAGUGGGUCUAGCAAUGUCCCAUUCUCGGUAAUGUUUGGUAGGUCUAAAACAUCCUCACGAAAUGUUCCCCAAAUGUUCUGCUCCAGCUGAGCAACUAAUAACAAUGGGAAGAUGCAGAAAAAAAAAUGCAUGGAGCAUAAUGUUAGUUUUGGGACUGGUCAGUGGCAACGUUUUAGAGAUGCCACGAAGAAUUCCUGGUAAUAAUGCUUUUUCCUACAGCAUUUAGCACUGAAUACUAUGGGAUUACGGCUAAAAGAUGGUCAAGACUGCCUCAGCCAUUAGGAUCAGAAUUCUAAGUUCCAAAGAAGAGCAAACUCAAGAGGAUUUCCUCAGGCCUCUGCCUAUAGAUGCUGCCCGGGGAGAACAGGUGCUACACUCAAAACAUUCUCAUUUUAUUUAUAUCCUCCCUGAACUAGUACCCAACUCCAUAACCCCAGACUCAAAUAACAGAAAUAAAAGCCAUCUCACU
RNAcentral lists this non-coding RNA (679 nucleotides) under Pan troglodytes (chimpanzee). Lineage: Eukaryota; Metazoa; Chordata; Mammalia; Primates; Hominidae. The record is from RNAcentral.